RNAcentral lists this ribosomal RNA (588 nucleotides) under uncultured bacterium. RNAcentral describes it as "bacterial SSU rRNA". It matches the Rfam family "Bacterial small subunit ribosomal RNA", at positions 338 to 916 of the family's 1533-position model. The record is from RNAcentral.
CCUACGGGAGGCAGCAGUAGGGAAUCUUCCACAAUGGGCGAAAGCCUGAUGGAGCAACGCCGCGUGAGUGAUGAAGGCCUUCGGGUUGUAAAACUCUGUCAUUCGGGACGAACCGGAGUCUGAGGAAAUGCAGACUCUCUGACGGUACCGGAGGAGGAAGCCCCGGCUAACUACGUGCCAGCAGCCGCGGUAAUACGUAGGGGGCAAGCGUUGUCCGGAUUCACUGGGCGUAAAGCGCGCGCAGGCGGUGAUGUAAGUCUGAGGUGAAAACCCGAAGCUCAACUUCGGGACUGCCUUGGAUACUGCGUCACUUGAGGAUAGGAGAGGCAAGGGGAAUUCCACGUGUAGCGGUGAAAUGCGUAGAGAUGUGGAGGAACACCUGUGGCGAAGGCGCCUUGCUGGCCUAUUUCUGACGCUGAGGCGCGAAAGCGUGGGGAGCAAACAGGAUUAGAUACCCUGGCAGUCCACGCUGUAAACGAUGAGUGCUAGGUGUAGGUGGGCUCAUACCCAUCUGUGCCGAAGCUAACGCAUUAAGCACUCCGCCUGGGGAGUACGGUCGCGAAGACUGAAACUUAAAUGAAUUGACGG